GAUAUUGGAAGGCUAAACUGAGGUGUUGGAAAGGGUAGUCGGCGGAGCGAGAGCGAAGGCAGAUAGAAGAAUGUCUACCGCUGGUCAGGAUGAAGACAAGAAGCCCGAAGAUUCGUCGUCGCACAUCAAUGUCAAAGUCAAGGGCCAGGUCUGGAUCUUUUCUAAAUUAUUUCCUUUGUUGGUUUUAUCUUAGUUUUUCAUUUUUUAAUUUCUAGAUGUCUACGUGUUUCUGAUGGUUUUGAUUGUGUUUCUAGAUGUCUACGUGUUUCUGAUGGUUUUGAUUGUGUUCUAGGGUUUUAAAUUAUCCAUUUUAGGGUUAUGCGCUGUGUUUUUGGGAACCAUUUAUUUAUUGGGGAUCUCUUAUUAUUUGUUUAGUUGUUUUGAUUUAUUGCUCAAUUAUAAAGAAAUUUUUUCUGCUAAGGGCAAAUAAUGUUGAGGAAAGAAUAAAGAAGUUCUAGGUUUUAUUUUUUGGAAAAAAUGCACACUGUAAAGAUCCUAACCUCAAGAUGCCCUCUCUCAAGCUUUCUUUAUAAUCUGGCUUUCUGGGAGGAACGAAUUUUGGAGUUUUAUGAAGCACAAAUACUCCUGCUAGGGCGGUGGGAUGUGUGCACGUCCGACACAUGUCUGUGUUAACACAAAAAAUUCUCAAACACUCGAGGCAUAUCUGACAUGAAACGAGGUGUGUCAUAUUUCUUGAAAGAUUGUCAAUCAUCUUAAUUAAAAGAUAUCACCGACAAAAAUAAAACUAAAAGAAGAAUAUAAUAUAUAAAUAUAUAAUCUUAAGAGUUAAAAUCAACAAGGCCGUAUCCUACUUUUUUUGAAAAAUCAUGUUUCGGAUGUGUUCUUGUUACAUGUCCAUAUCGCCCAUCAUGCCCAUGUCUGUGCUUAUUAGUUUAAGGUUGACGUAUGACUAGAGGGACAUAAGCAAGUGAGAGGAAAAGAAUAAAUCAGCUAUGCACUUCUUAACAUUGAGUUGUGACUCUAUCUCGCAUUUGGUAUCGAAUUGUAUUUGUUUUUGGUAGCAUGGGAGCAAUGAGCAUAACUCGUGAACUUGUCAAGGUUGAGUUAAAUUCAAUUUCACUUUUGUAUUUUUGGGGUUUGUCAAUCGAUGUGCGGCAUGAUUUAUCCUUUCAGAUUUUGAUUAUGCUGUUUCGUUUGUCCGACGAAUUUUUACUUGAAUGGUCUUGUGAUUAGUGUGUUUAUUAUUCAAGCUGUUUGAAUUCCUUUUCUGAUGCUGGAUGAAUCCUGCAUUUUAAGCCCCCGUUUGAUUCCCAUUUUUUAUUCACAAAAAUGAAAAAUAUAACCAUUGUCAAUCACAUCAAGUUACCAUAUUUGAUAUUCUAUCUCUUGUAUGGGUUCCGUAAUGGUUAUUUUUUCAUUUUCAUUCUUAUGAAAAUGGGUCCGAAACGGCUAUAUUUUUCAUCCUUGAAAGACAUUUACUCUAAAUUUUGCUAAAACAAGUCAUUUAGCCUUGUCUGGUUUGGCGAAAAAUCGGAUUUUUAGUAGAUUUUGUUAAAAAAUGAUGAAAUGUGUGGUUGAAAAUGAGCAUGUGAAGAAAAUGGGGCCGAACAUGGGCUUAGUUUAUUUUGAGGAAAUGAAUAUCUUUGUAACUGUGUUGGAUAGUCUUAUGAUUACUGUAAUUGUUAUAUAAGCUAUUUGAAUUCCUUUUGCGACGGUGGACAAGUCUUGCAUUCUUAGUGACGAUCUUACAAAUUUGAAGAUAUCUUAUCUUAAUUUUGCUAAAACAAGUCAUUUAGUAGAUGAAUAUUUGUGUUUUUAAUGGUAGAUGUGUCGAUAUUUCUUCAUACAAUUGCUUAACGAGUCCAUUUCAUAUAGGAUGGCAAUGAAGUCUUUUUUAGGAUCAAGAAAAGCUCCCAACUGAAGAAGCUCAUGACCACUUAUUGUGAUCGACAAUCAGUGGAUUUAAAUGCAAUUGCGUUUCUGUUUGAUGGCCGCCGUCUUCGAGCAGAGCAGACUCCUGAU
Molecule: long non-coding RNA, 1983 nt
Filed under: Olea europaea (common olive)
Lineage: Eukaryota; Viridiplantae; Streptophyta; Magnoliopsida; Lamiales; Oleaceae
Description: long non-coding RNA (OEUR_LNC009746)
Source: RNAcentral